This 253-nucleotide ribosomal RNA is filed under the name uncultured bacterium. Its description in RNAcentral is "partial 16S ribosomal RNA". It matches the Rfam family "Bacterial small subunit ribosomal RNA", at positions 524 to 776 of the family's 1533-position model. The record is from RNAcentral.
UACGUAGGGGGCAAGCGUUGUCCGGAAUCAUUGGGCGUAAAGAGCGUGUAGGCGGCCCGGUAAGUCCGCUGUGAAAGUCCAGGGCUCAACCCUGGGAUGCCGGUGGAUACUGUCGGGCUUGAGUACGGAAGAGGCGAGUGGAAUUCCUGGUGUAGCGGUGAAAUGCGCAGAUAUCAGGAAGAACACCCGUGGCGAAGGCGGUUCUCUGGGACGGUACUGACGCUGAGACGCGAAAGCAUGGGGAGCGAACAGG